AUGACUCUGAUCACCAUCUUCAUCUGGACACUGGUCUGCUGCUGCCUCAAAGGAACCAGAGGUCAGGUGACUGUGACUCAGCCUCCUGUAGUGACAUUUUCUCCAGGAGACCCCGUCACUCUGACCUGUACAACCAACCCUAAAGUGCACAAAUGGGAUAGCGGAAAUGAGGGUGCGUUCUGGUAUCAACAGAGACCUGGAGAAACUCCCAAACUCCUUAUAAAAUACGUAAAGACACGGUUAGAUGGGAUUCCUGCUAGAUUCAGUGGCAGUGGGUCUGAGAGUGACUUCACUCUGACCAUCAGUGGAGUCCAGGCUGAAGAUGCAGCAGUUUACUACUGUAAGAGUUACCACUAUCUCAACAGUAGAAGUAUCUUCACACAGUGA
Non-coding RNA from Oncorhynchus nerka (sockeye salmon), 387 nucleotides. NCBI's taxonomy places the organism in Eukaryota, Metazoa, Chordata, Actinopteri, Salmoniformes, Salmonidae. The record is from the annotation of a RefSeq genome assembly.